ACGAACGCUGGCGGCGUGCUUAACACCUGCAAGUCGAACGGAAAGGCCCUGCUUGCCGGGUACUCGAGUGGCGAACGGGUGAGUAACACGUGGGUGAUCUGCCCUGCACUUCGGGAUAAGCCUGGGAAACUGGGUCUAAUACCGGAUAGGAGCCAUUUUUAGUGUGAUGGUUGGAAAGUUUUUUCGGUGUAGGAUGAGCUCGCGGCCUAUCAGCUUGUUGGUGGGGUAAUGGCCUACCAAGGCGGCGACGGGUAGCCGGCCUGAGAGGGUGGACGGCCACAUUGGGACUGAGAUACGGCCCAGACUCCUACGGGAGGCAGCAGUGGGGAAUAUUGCACAAUGGGCGCAAGCCUGAUGCAGCGACGCCGCGUGGGGGAUGACGGCCUUCGGGUUGUAAACUCCUUUCGCUAGGGACGAAGCUUUUUGUGACGGUACCUAGAUAAGAAGCACCGGCUAACUACGUG
This 464-nucleotide ribosomal RNA is filed under the name uncultured bacterium. RNAcentral describes it as "partial 16S ribosomal RNA". It matches the Rfam family "Bacterial small subunit ribosomal RNA", at positions 29 to 507 of the family's 1533-position model. The record is from RNAcentral.